GCCACCGUAGCUCAGUUGGUAGAGCAGGCGAUUCGUAAUCGUCAGGUCAUGGGUUCGAGUCCCCUCGGUGGCUCCA
This 76-nucleotide transfer RNA is filed under the name Candidatus Alcyoniella australis. Its description in RNAcentral is "tRNA-Thr". It matches the Rfam family "tRNA". From Rfam's summary of the family: Transfer RNA (tRNA) molecules are approximately 80 nucleotides in length. Their secondary structure includes four short double-helical elements and three loops (D, anti-codon, and T loops). The record is from RNAcentral. Lineage: Bacteria; Candidatus Lernaellota; Candidatus Lernaellaia; Candidatus Lernaellales; Candidatus Alcyoniellaceae.